This 530-nucleotide ribosomal RNA is filed under the name uncultured bacterium. RNAcentral describes it as "bacterial SSU rRNA". It matches the Rfam family "Bacterial small subunit ribosomal RNA", at positions 777 to 1304 of the family's 1533-position model. The record is from RNAcentral.
AAUAGAUACCCAGGUAGUCCACGCCCUAAACUAUGUCGACUGGUUGUUGGGGGAGUCUGUCCCUCAGUAACGUAGCUAACGCGUGAAGUCGACCGCCUGGGGAGUACGGUCGCAAGAUUAAAACUCAAAGGAAUUGACGGGGACCCGCACAAGCGGUGGAUUAUGUGGAUUAAUUCGAUGCAACGCGAAGAACCUUACCUACCCUUGACAUGCCAGGAACCUCGCAGAGAUGUGAGGGUGCCCGAAAGGGAACCUGGACACAGGUGCUGCAUGGCUGUCGUCAGCUCGUGUCGUGAGAUGUUGGGUUAAGUCCCGCAACGAGCGCAACCCUUGCCAUUAGUUGCUACAUUCAGUUGGGCACUCUAAUGGGACUGCCGGUGACAAACCGGAGGAAGUGGGGAUGACGUCAAGUCCUCAUGGCCCUUAUGGGUAGGCUUCACACGUAAUACAAUGGCGCAUACAGAGAGCUGCAAACCCCGGCGAGGGGGGUAGCCAAUCCCAAAAACGUGCGUCGUAGUCCGGAUUGUUCU